GGGAAGGAACCAGAGGGAGGUGAUGGCAGUGAUAAGAUCAAGGCCGGUCAACUUUAACUCUUGCGAGAUUUUGGCGGCUUAAAGCCCUGAGCACUUUCACCGUAUGCUCCUUCACUGAAAGUGAAGCAAGGACAAUUGAAGAUCGUUGUAGAGACAGUGACGCUGAUUAAUAUCAAAUCCCGGAGAAGUAGCGUGCUUGGGACUGGCUGAUAGAGUCUACUUGUUUGGCAGGCCUGUUCAAAACCAGCGAGGAUGAGCGACAUCGAUGACAGAAAACCCUGGCGGCAAGAAAAAAUAUAUGAAUUUUG
Mobula hypostoma (lesser devil ray) is the source of this 308-nucleotide long non-coding RNA. RefSeq lists it as uncharacterized. NCBI's taxonomy places the organism in Eukaryota, Metazoa, Chordata, Chondrichthyes, Myliobatiformes, Myliobatidae. The transcript has 3 exons. The record is from RefSeq and is a predicted model, not a curated record.